RNAcentral lists this ribosomal RNA (253 nucleotides) under uncultured bacterium. RNAcentral describes it as "partial 16S ribosomal RNA". It matches the Rfam family "Bacterial small subunit ribosomal RNA", at positions 524 to 776 of the family's 1533-position model. The record is from RNAcentral.
UACGGAGGAUCCAAGCGUUAUCCGGAUUUAUUGGGUUUAAAGGGUGCGUAGGCGGAUUAAUAAGUCAGUGGUGAAAGCCUGCAGCUUAACUGUAGAAUUGCCAUUGAUACUGUUAGUCUUGAGUCCAGUUGAGGUGGGCGGAAUGUGUCAUGUAGCGGUGAAAUGCUUAGAUAUGACACAGAACACCGAUUGCGAAGGCAGCUCGCUAAACUGGUACUGACGCUGAGGCACGAAAGCGUGGGUAGCAAACAGG